This is a long non-coding RNA of Mustela lutreola (European mink), 3024 nucleotides long. RefSeq lists it as uncharacterized. The record is from RefSeq and is a predicted model, not a curated record. NCBI's taxonomy places the organism in Eukaryota, Metazoa, Chordata, Mammalia, Carnivora, Mustelidae. The transcript has 2 exons.
CUCAGGGAUGGGCGGGUGACAGUCGUGGGUCCGCAUCGCUCACUUGCGGGAGGAAACGGAUUAAAAAGCCCCCUUUCUUCUCUGCCUCAGCACCACACCACCUCUGAGUCAGCAAUCUCGGAGAAGUGGACCUUUUCCCCAGUUUUGUUGAUCCUGACGCGAUCUCAUUUUUCAGAAGCUUAAUGUAUUCUUUCAUGAAUUGUCUGAGGAGCCAACCUGUGCUCCAGUCAACGUUCUCUGAUGGGCACGUGCUCGAUGUCAGGUCACAUCACGAAGACCUCCCCCGCCUCUUCUCCUGCCAGCCCUCAGGAGGACUCCUCCCAAACAUCAGGAUGCGGAGUUGCGACAGAAGCUAUCUCUGGCUAUCUGGGGUAGAAAAGGAAUUUAAUAAAGGGCAUUUCGGAGUCAGAGAAUCCUCAUGAGGGACAGAGGACUUGGACUUGGAGGCAGCUCAGCCAGGAAGAACGCCCACAGCGGCCUGCAGAACCGCUCCGGGGGACCACCAGUGUCCCCCUCAAGACCCCGACCCUGUAGCUUGUGGCACCUGCAUCACCAUGUGGGCUUGGGACACUGUCCUGAAGCCCCUGUAGCUGCUGCCUCCAGAGCCCAGACGGGGCCCCCACUUCACCCGCCGGAGUGGACUCUUGCAGCGUCUCCUUGUCUCACCAGGAGGAAUCCCAGGAUCUGCUGUGGAUGCCGGACUGUGGCUGUCCUUGAGCCACCCGAGAGCCUAGGAGGAUGAGCCUUCUAUGGUCGAUGACAGAGACUUACAACAUGGAGAAUCCCUCAUGUCUAGAAAGGAUGGGAAAAGGGGUUGAGCAGCCAGAAGAAAUGCCAAGUGUCCCCCAGGAGGCUUGGGGACGGGCACCCCAUAUUAUGAUAUCUUUGGAUCUUCUGAAACUUCAUGUUCCAUCCAGUGCAGGCAACUGAGUCCCUCCUUACCCCCGCACUACCCCCAGGGUUCCACAUGCAAAACUUCCCUCUGAGAUGCUCUCCGUCUUCUGCCUGUCAAAACCCUGCUGGUCCAGGCGACACCCCGUUAAAAGUCAUGCUUAAAAUACACCCCAGAUUCUGAAGUUUCAAACUGUCUUUGGUAAGAAAACAUCAACUUGCCUUCUGCUUCUUUCUUGCUAGAUUUAGAAGGAGACAUUUGGCCCAUUCUCCUAGGAAGGAUGACUUUCACCAGGACGGAAGACAAAUAUUCUAAAACAGACGCAUUCGCUGUCUUCCUGGUGCUUAGAAUCUUAAGAAAAUGUUUGCUUCGGGAAUGAAUAGAAACUUCUUCCUUAACCGAGAAUUCUUCCAGCCAUCCCUCAGCUACUUUUCCUGCACCUGAAUGAUGGAGCCCUGUGGAGAAAAAUCGCCUAAUGGUGUUGAUUGAUGUCUUGACAAGUGUAGAAAGAUGUGAACAUGUUUUGAUAGGUACACUCAACUUGUUUGACUUUGUCUUUGCUACACUGGGUGGCGCCUCCCAGAAAUGGUGAUCAGACGGUUGUGUAUCCCAGGAACAGAGCUGGAGGGGGGAAGACAUCAUUUCCUAGCGUUGGCAAUUGCCAAGUCCUUUCAACAGGCGGCCGAGCCCCACCUCAAGGCAGGUAGGGAGGGGCUUCUGCUUCUACUCUCUUCAGUUGGGCCAAUCACCCUGAAAACUUCCAAAACUGGCCUGAGUGGUCCCCUCCAUUACAAAAUAUACCCUGGAAAAAAUAACCAAAAGAAAUGUGUCAACACUUAUUAGUGGUUGCCCUUGGGAGGUUGGAGUCAUGGGCUAUCGUAAGUGCUUUGUGUUUUUAAAAUUUUUCUGUCCCUCGCUUGUCCCACCUGGGAUUACAUUUAGUUAAUGUUUUACCUUAUUACACCCUGCCAGGGCCACCCGUGGUUGUGCGCCCAUCCUCUGUUGAACUCUCUUAUUUCAAGCCGUGACCAGCCAGCGGCUCACACAGGUUAGGUACUCAACCAAUGUUCACAGAACUGAAUUCUCAUUUUUUGUUUUCUUUCACCAAGGAAGACUUACCUUAUCAGAAUAAUGGUCUCCACUGCCACUUGUUUCUAGGAAAUUAAAUCAGUUGGGACUUGGCAUAUCCUUGAGGAAAUGGAGGCCGAAAUUUUUCCCAAACUCCACCCCUGGAGGGCCCCAUUCUCGCAAGCUUCGGGGUAAUCCUCGCAGAAACUUCCAUGACGCUCUUCCAGAUCAGAGUUUUAUUAGGUGAUAACUGGGGGGUGAGAAGUGGGAGAAUAUGAUUCUGACAGUAGAAAUGCUGACUAUAAAAAAAUGUAAGUUUGCUCUGUGACCCAGAGACCUCCCCUAGAGAUGCAUUCUACGGAUCUGCCCACAUAGGCACUAAGGAUAUAUAAGCAAAGGUGUCUUCUGCAAGGUUGCUUCAAAGACUUUAAAAACUGGAUACAACCUCCUUCUCUGGAUAAAUAAAGGACAGUACAUCCAUGUAAACAAUGGAACAUUCUCCGGUGGUUAUAAAGAAUGAGGUAGAUCUAUAGGUAUUGAAAUGGAAAGAUCACUAUGGCAAUUGCUAACUGGAAAAAGCAACAUAUCAAUACAUAGAUUAUGAUUCCAUUAGGUAAAAGUAAUAAAAGCUAAUGGUUUCUUUUUAAAUUUCCCAUGUACAUAGGAAAUGUCUAAAGUAUACACAUUGACAUGUGAACAGUGGUGACUUCUGGAGAAGGAAGAGGAUUUUCUAGAAGGGAUAAAAAGGGACAUGUUUACCUCCACGUUACAAAUGAAAUCACGAAAUAUUAGUUGUUUGAAUCCUUAUUAGAGCCUACAUUUCUAUGUUAAUGUGUCAUUAUAAACGUUUUUUUUUUAAAGAUUUGUAAUUUCAGGCCAACGUUAGAAUUCACAAACAUGUUUAGAUGAAGACUUCUGGAGAACACCGUGGAAACCCAUUUAUUAACCUUGAAAUAACAAAAUUUUGCAUGUCUGCUUUAUGUCAAUAUCUUAUUAAACUAUAGCCUUAAACGGUAGCAGCUUAAGGAAAUUGUAAUGCAGUGAAAUAAAUUGAGAAAACCCUA